UUUCCUUUUCUUCCCCUUCCUAAAUAAAAACUUAUUUUCCCCGACACUCUCCCUUCUUUCCUGAAUUUCUCCAAUCACGUUGCUCCAGUCAUCCGUUUGUGUGUAACCACCGCAGCUUCAAUCGUCCGUUCGUGCGCCACCACCCGAGCUUCAGCCGUCCGUUCGUGCAGGAUCUUCCUCCACCACCCAAGCACCAAACAGGAGCCAUUCAUGUCAGCCACCUCGCACAUGCGUUCUGAUGGCAGCCGUUCCCUCCAGACGGCAGCUAUACAUUCCCUCCACAGGCACCGCGCACGGCUGAGGACAGUCAUCGUCCCAUGCACAGGCACCGUUGACGCACGACUAGAGACUUAGACGCUUCAACCAGACGCUUCACGCACAGGCACCGCCAUAGACGUUCACGCACAGGCCACAGCUAAGGUUUUGUCACCGUCUUGGAAUUCCGGAUAGCGGAUCCCAUACUUAACAACACGUUGAUUUCUUGGAAUACCUCUCAUCGUUUUCGUGAUUCGGUUCAUAUGGUUGAUUGUUUGGGUGAAUGGUUGAUUCCAAAGCCAUGGUAAUAGUGAUGCAACUGGUCUUGCAACAUCACCUGCGCGAUACCCAAUAUCUGCUCAGCAAGUCAUUUAUGAGCUUCGGAUAUACUCUUUGAAGGAGGCAAUGUCUGGUCUGGUACUAGCAUCUCGAGCCAUAAGAGCUACCCAUUGUCUAACAUCUAUAUAGGUUUGUUAAUGAUAAUGACUGUUAUGUUCCUUUGAGUACCUUAAACGAGCAUGAGUUUGUUUUUCUACACAUAAAUUCUCCAAGACCUUUUUCUAAUUAUGAAAAGCAUUUUCCACUACGCCUUUUGUUUGCAAAUUCUAUGUAGUGAAGUGCAAGCUGUGCAAGAUAAUGUUUACUGUGAGAAGAUGUGGCUCAGAGAAUGGAAGGAUUGAGUUCAAUGUUUAGUUAAGGUUUGAAGAAUUCAGGUGUAUUUUCAUGCAUAGAUCAAUGUCUAUACUUUUACCAAUUAAUUGUAUAAAUCCUUUUCAUAAAAGGGGCAUUUAUGUAAUUCUGGGCUUCGCAAGUUGCUUCAUUCGGCAAUACUUUGAUGAGGUUGAGAGGUUUGCCUUCUUCUACGAGUUUGAUCAAAUAAAUUUUCAAUUAUCCUUUGUCAAUUUAUCUUUUUGCCAACCAUUGGAGUCUUUUCCUGUUGUGUGGUUGGCUGAUUAUUUUCUAAUUACACAGUCAAUUCUUCUAUUCAUCUUGAAGGCUAAGCUUCUUAUUAACAAAAAUCCUCCAAGGAAACUAGUUGUACCAACAGAUUGGCCUCUUUUUUUUUUGUAAUUUCUUUUCUCUUUCUUUUUUCUUUUGUUUACUUUCUAAUCUCCAUAUUAGGUAAACCUUGUUGCUUUGUGUUAAGCAAGUCGACUGGUCAAGCAUGCAGUGAAACAAAAUUUUGUUCCAAUAAGACGUGAGAAAAGUACCCAAUAAAGUAAUUUGGAUUUUUGGCUUGGGCGGUUUGCAAUGGUGGGAUUUGUAAUUGCAAUUAGUGUUGAAAUUGCAACAGGCAAGGGACUUUUAGAGGUCUUUUACUAUGCCCAGAAAGUUGUACUUCACCCAAGGUCCACUUUUUUAUCAAGAAACUCAAACUCUAUGCCUAGGUGUAUAUGGGCAUUGAUUGAUAUAUUUUGUUCAUAUUAAACAUAGAGCUAGGUGGAACAAUUUCUUUAUAUGGUAGAAGUUUGGGUUGUUGUAAGUAUGUAAUGACCAACUAUAUGUGUAUUGAACAGUAUGUAAUAACCAACUAUAUGUAUAUGAUUCUAUGCAAUUUGAUAAA
This is a long non-coding RNA of Cucumis melo (muskmelon), 1819 nucleotides long. RefSeq lists it as uncharacterized. The transcript is spliced from 5 exons. The record is from RefSeq and is a predicted model, not a curated record. Lineage: Eukaryota; Viridiplantae; Streptophyta; Magnoliopsida; Cucurbitales; Cucurbitaceae.